This 484-nucleotide ribosomal RNA is filed under the name uncultured soil bacterium. RNAcentral describes it as "bacterial SSU rRNA". It matches the Rfam family "Bacterial small subunit ribosomal RNA", at positions 26 to 510 of the family's 1533-position model. The record is from RNAcentral.
AGGAUGAACGCUGGCGGCGUGCCUAAUACAUGCAAGUCGAGCGGUAAGGUUCUCACUCUGUGCUUAAAGCAUUUGAGCGUAGUGUGAGAAUACACGAGCGGCGGACGGCUGAGUAACGCGUAGGAACGUACCCCAAAGUGAGGGAUAAGCACCAGAAAUGGUGUCUAAUACCGCAUGUGGUCUAAGGAUUAAAGCUUCGGCGCUUUGGGAACGGCCUGCGUAUGAUUAGUUUGUUGGUGAGGUAACGGCUCACCAAGACUACGAUCAUUAGCUGGUCUGAGAGGAUGAUCAGCCAGACUGGGACUGAGACGGCCAGACUCCUACGGGAGGCAGCAGUAGGGAAUUUUCCACAAUGGACGAAGUCUAGAUGGAGCAACGCCGCGUGCGAGGAUGAAGGUCUUCGGUUACGUAAACUUGUCUUUAUAUGUGACGAUUAUGAGGUAGCUAUAUAGAAUAAGGAGUCGGUACUAGUUACCGUGUACCA